GAUGAACGCUGGCGGCGUGCCUAAUACAUGCAAGUCGAGCGAACGGACGAGAAGCUUGCUUUUCUGAUGUUAGCGGCGGACGGGUGAGUAACACGUGGAUAACCUACCUAUAAGACUGGGAUAACCUCGGGAAACCGGCGCUAAUACCGGAUAAUAUUUUGAACCGCAUGGUUCAAAAGUGAAAGACGGUCUUGCUGUCACUUAUAGAUGGAUCCGCGCUGCAUUAGCUAGUUGGUAAGGUAACGGCUUACCAAGGCAACGAUGCAUAGCCGACCUGAGAGGGUGAUCGGCCACACUGGAACUGAGACACGGUCCAGACUCCUACGGGAGGCAGCAGUAGGGAAUCUUCCGCAAUGGGCGAAAGCCUGACGGAGCAACGCCGCGUGAGUGAUGAAGGUCUUCGGAUCGUAAAACUCUGUUAUUAGGGAAGAACAUAUGUGUAAGUAACUGUGCACAUCUUGACGGUACCUAAUCAGAAAGCCACGGCUAACUACGUG
This 497-nucleotide ribosomal RNA is filed under the name uncultured bacterium. Its description in RNAcentral is "partial 16S ribosomal RNA". It matches the Rfam family "Bacterial small subunit ribosomal RNA", at positions 28 to 507 of the family's 1533-position model. The record is from RNAcentral.